Cephus cinctus (wheat stem sawfly) is the source of this 1692-nucleotide RNA transcript. It is a transcript of the gene named transcription factor A, mitochondrial, with no coding region annotated. The record is from RefSeq and is a predicted model, not a curated record. NCBI's taxonomy places the organism in Eukaryota, Metazoa, Arthropoda, Insecta, Hymenoptera, Cephidae. The transcript has 5 exons.
GACAUCAUUGAAAUAAAUGCAGUGUUUAAUACAAGAGUGUAUAACUUUUAAUUCUUUUGCUGGAAAGCUGAUACACAAGGAUUGAUAGUAGUGUUGAUUUUCAACAAUGAAGUCAACAUUUUUGUCAUACUCACGAUAUAACACAAAAAAUGUUCAGCUAAUAUGAAAAAUGUAUCAGGUUGGCUAGUAACUUCUUCCUGAGCACAUGCAAGUAUUAAUGAAAGUAUAACAUGGCGGUAUUUAGAGGAUCUUUUGGCCUUAGCAAUGUUAUUGGAAAUUACCGCAAUUUUCUAUCACCAAGGAUAUGUGUAACAAGUUACAACAGAUGUUUAUCCGCAAAGGGGAAAAUGACAGAAGAAGAAAUUGGUCUCCCACCACGUCCAAAGAAACCACUUCCACCAUUUUUUAGAUAUCUUGAAAUGAAAAGACCUACAGCAAAACUGGAGCAUCCUGAGUUAAAAUUGACUGAACUUACCAAAUUGUUAUCUGAGGGUUGGGCAACGUUUGAUCCUAUGCAAAAGGACAUGAUGCAAAAGCAGUAUGAUCAGGAGAUGCUUCUUUAUGCAAAGAGUUUUUCAGAGUACAAAAAGUCAAUCACUCCAGAGCAAAAGUUAAAAAUCAAGUUAGCAAAAGAACAGAAAAAAAUUUCCAAGGAGAAAUCAAAAGAUCGCCAAAAAAACGCAUCGUUUGGAAAGCCAAAAAAGCCAAUGUCUUCAUUUUUGCGAUACAUUCAAAGCAGGAAACAUGAAUACGACAAGACGAAGAUAAGCUACAAAGAUUUUUUAAACAGUGUAAAACAAGAAUACAAUGCAUUGCCAGAGAGUAAAAAGGUAGAAUUACGUGAGGAAUUUAUGAAGGAUCUACAGGAGUAUAAAGUGGCUAUUAUUGAGUGGGAAAAGAAAAUGAUAAAGUUAGGAUACCCUGAUGUUGUGAGAAAUUCUUCUACCUUAAACAUCCCUCAAACAUAUAAAUAGGAAAUCGGGUGCCCCACCCACUCAACCGUCUAUGACGAUCUUGAAGUUUUGAGCCCCCCGGAAUCCCUAUCGGAUAACAACACCUUGGGCUGGGGCACGGGUAACGUUCCAGAUACCUACCAUAAAGUUCAAAGUUCAUGUUCCCAUACUGAUAAUACACCAAUGACAUCCACAAAUAAAAGGAAUGUGUCUCAGAUGAAUACAUUGCCUGAGAAAUCAAUCAUUCAGAAAGAUAAAGAAUACAUGGAGAUUAUUAAUAUUUCAUCGGACUUGCCAAUGAAGAGCACCGGAAAUAGCAACAAGAGGUUGAUAACGCAUGUGAAAAAAUCUGAUUCUCUUUCAAAAAUUAAUCAUGACCAUACAUCGCAGAUACUUUCGUUACAUAAAACAAAGUCCGAUAUUAUCGAAUCGUCAACCAGUUUGAACGAAACAAAGACAUUUAAGGAUAAUCUUUUAGCACAUAACGAGAAUAACAUGGUUGACUUGGAUACACGCUCAAAGUCAAAUUCAAAAAAGCAAAAUACCUGUGACGAAGUACCAGAAGAACAUGCUUUGCCACGGAUGGACAAACCGAUCUAGCGAGAAUGCAUACUAUACCGUUCACGUAUAAAAAGUUCAUCGAAUAUUUUUUAAGUGAAUAGUUUAAUUAGUGCGAAUGAUUUAAUAGAAUGCGAAAUUCAUGUCACGUUAAGUCAUAUAACUGUUCUGGCUGAUAACA